GAGGGAGGGAGGGAAAAGAAAGGCCGAGCGAGUCCGUCCGUCCGCCGCCACCAACUGGCGCUUCACUCGGCCGCCGCCAUCUUGUCUGUCUGUCGCUCGCUCGCUUUCUUUCUCGCUGCCGAUAUCCAGGACACAAAAUGCCUCCAGCCCGCGACCGACGCUUCUUCACCGCGCUGAGUACUCUGGGAAACUGGGGAGAACACCAGCCUGCGCAUGCGUCUCCCAAAGGGAGGAAAAGAGGACAAGCAGGAAGUGUGCGUGAUCUUAACGCCUUAGCAGGGCGAGGCUGGUUCAAAACAUGCGCAUGCGCAAAAGGCGGCAGACUUGUUCUUUGAAGCGGAGAAACCCCGCCCUCCGUUUUAGGGAAUUAGAAUUACGCAGUUACCAUCGUUCCACACAUGCAAAAAAGGUUUGUUACUUUAUCGUUCAAGUACAAAAAGGCCGGCUAUGCGCAUGCGCUUUCCGAAGCGAAGAGGCUUUAGGAAUAUGUCAAGACUCGGGUAGACGGGUAUACAAAACUGUAAUCCAGAAAUGGGAGAACUACGCUAUUUCAUAGAGAAAGGAAUGAAACUUACUGUACGAAUAUUUUGUAUUAAUUCAGCAAAGAUUAAUCACUGCUCCUUCCUCAAGCAGGGAAUGGAUGGGUUUUGUUGCUGCUGCAGGAUCUGUGACAACUUGGAACAGGACACUGAUUUUAGUUCCCUGAUAGGUCAGUGUCAGUGCAGACCAUCAUAGAUUUUCCUCAAAGUGUUUUUGAGGGAUUAGGGGAUAGAACCACCUUCACAGUCAAACUAGAGAUGAAUAAACAUUUUGUAUCAAGAGUUGCUGUCAACAUAUUCUUGCAUUACAACAUAACCUGUAUCAAGCAAUUCUAGUUUAACCUUUCAGAUUGGACUUGCAGUGAUGUAUGGGAAGAAUGGAGAUGAGAAAAGGUGGUACAAAAUAAGAGGAGGAAGAUUGUCAUGUAGGAUAUUAGAAAAAAAAAUAACAUGCAGCAUUGCUUUAUGAAGAAUUUUAUUUAUUGUUAAUUUCUUGCCAGAUUUAUCUGUUUAACAAUCAGGGCAACUUGACUGUAAAGAAAAUACAAAAUAGAAACAAAGCAAUUAAAAUCUUAAUAAACAAUCAGCAAUUAAAGGCUUGAUAGAAAGAUGUGCUUUGCCAACUACCUAAAUGCUUGUAGAGUGGGAGCCAUGUUUUCAUGGUCUGGAUGCCACAUAGGAGGUCUUUUCCUAUAUAAUAAAUAGAUGAAACUCUGACAGUGAAUGGCUGCUCCUGCUGAUAUGAGUAGUUGGGCUGGUUCGUAAUGGGAGAAGCACUCUUACAGGGAGACGCUACACUGUUUAGGGCUUUCUAAGUCUACUAAAACUGUGAACAGUAUCCAAUAGGCAACUGAUAGCCAGUGCAAAUAUUUCAGGACAGGAACCAUACGAUUCCCUAUUCACUGCACCAAUCAGCAGCCUAGCUGCUGCAUUUUGUACCAUUUUCAAGUUCUGUACACUUUCAAGGAUGUCCCCAUAUACAGCACAUUGCAGUAGUCCAGGUAGGUUGCAACCAUAGUAUAGAUAACUGUUGCUGUGUUGUGGUUUACAAAUGUGCUCCUUGCCAUGGUGGCAUUUGCAAGUGCAAGUUAGGGAACAAAAAACACGCCAAACUGCAAAUCUUCAUCUCAGUCCCUGAGUCCAGAUUUUUCCUUAUUAACAGCACCUCCAUCUUAUCUGGAUUUAAUUUCAGCUUGUUCUCUCUGAUCCAGCCCAUUAUUGAGAUUAGGCAGCAUUCAGCCAUACUGAUUGCUUCCUUGGAAUUAGAGGGUAAGGAGCAGUAGAACUGAAUGUCAUAAGUGUACUGAUGGCACCUAACUCCAAAGCUCGAGAUGACCUCUCCCAGAAGUUUUCAGUUACCAUAUUUUUCCAUCUAUAAGACAAUACUUUUUUCUAAAAU
Molecule: long non-coding RNA, 1938 nt
Organism: Python bivittatus (Burmese python)
Lineage: Eukaryota; Metazoa; Chordata; Lepidosauria; Squamata; Pythonidae
Source: RefSeq, a predicted model, not a curated record